GAAAGCCAGAAAACCAAGCAUACCUUUACUCUAUGUGAAGUGAGAAAACUCAGGCUCCAGGAGAAGAUCUAAGGGGCUUUUCUCUGAGCAAAAGGAGAGAGAGGACAGGUGAGGCCGACUCCUUCCCAGAAUGCUGAGAUCUGGGCCAAGGCAAGCUGACAGGGCAACAAAGGUCCCAGAGGACCCUGUCUGUUGAGGACCUUAAAAUGGAUUCAUCUGAUACAGGGAGGCUAUGAGAACCAGAACUGGGCUCAAAUAUUUGACUUGUGUUCAAGAGACUCAAGGCUGAGUGACAGAAAGAAUCCAGCCCAGCCUGGGUGCUAGAAGGUCUGGAUUCUCCCUGCCCCUAGGAUCCCUACAAGGCUGGUAUACUGAAAUGGCAUUUACACUUGUGGCUCAUCAUGAUGCUGUGACCAAUUGUGUGGGUUUGGGUGGUACACUAAAUUUCUCUGGGUCUCUAUUCCUCCAUUUGUAAAAUGAAGAAUUUGAGUUAGAGAACCCCCAAAUUUCCUUUCAGCAUAAAAGUUUCGUGAUUACCAGAGACCUGCUUAAGCCCCAUUUCCUUCAUGUUUAAAGCAUGCACAAUCUUGUCUGUUUCAUAGGGAGGUGGUGUAAGUGUAUGUGAAAGUGCUCAGUAAGCCUUAAAACACAAAUGCUAGCUUUCCUUAGAAUUCUUUUUGCAGCUCUUUCUUCAUAGCAUAUUUCAUUUUCUUUUUAUUUGUGCUAAAUAGGAAUUCAUAAAAUCCAGGUCUUGGUUUGAUAAAAGGAAGCAGGAUGUCAGUUCAGGUAGAUGAAGACAUUAUAAAUGGCAGCAGCAUCUCAAAGUUCUUUGGACAGAGGCUGACUGGACCUACCCUCAGUCUUCAGAA
Ictidomys tridecemlineatus (thirteen-lined ground squirrel) is the source of this 869-nucleotide long non-coding RNA. RefSeq lists it as uncharacterized. The record is from RefSeq and is a predicted model, not a curated record. Lineage: Eukaryota; Metazoa; Chordata; Mammalia; Rodentia; Sciuridae.